CCAUCUGUGAGUUUUUUGAGAGUGUCUUAUAUCUAAAACUCCUUCUCCUACUUCUCAUCUUUGGAAGAGUCCAAAUCAAGAAGAAGGAGACAUCUGAUUGACCAUCGAAGAAGGAUCAGCAUAGUACCAGCAUACUGUACUGAUUUCUUGGACCAGAACUUCUGAUUGUGAUUCGUGGACUUGUGUGGAUGACUCCUAGAGGUC
RNAcentral lists this long non-coding RNA (204 nucleotides) under Elaeis guineensis (African oil palm). RNAcentral's name for it is "long non-coding RNA (EGUI_LNC044111)". Lineage: Eukaryota; Viridiplantae; Streptophyta; Magnoliopsida; Arecales; Arecaceae. The record is from RNAcentral.